GUGAGUCUGGAUCUAGCUUGAAGGUCAGUAUUGAAUAUCUUCACACUUCUGCCAUAAAGGCUCUAUUUGGGAAUGUCUGUAGAUGGUAAAUCCAUGGUACUUAUUAAGGCUUUUCGCUAGUUUUCGCACCUCGUGUUAAAACCUUAUCAUUUGCCAUGACGAUUUGUAUCUCAAUUUCCUACAUUCUUUAGUUUCAAAUAUUAAUUUUAGCAUCCCUUUUACCUCCAGGGAAGAAAUCAAACUGCGGACG
Molecule: unclassified non-coding RNA, 250 nt
Filed under: Hevea brasiliensis (rubber tree)
Lineage: Eukaryota; Viridiplantae; Streptophyta; Magnoliopsida; Malpighiales; Euphorbiaceae
Source: RNAcentral